UCAAGCGCGAAAAGGGCGUUUGGUGAAUGCCUUGGCAGUAAGAGGCGAUGAAAGACGUGAUACUCUGCGAUAAGCCAUGGGGAGCUGAGAAUAAGCUUUGAUCCAUGGAUUUCUGAAUGGGGCAACCCACCUGAUACUUUGUUAUUAAUACUACUAACCGGCAGUAAUGCAUGAGGGUUCGCCCUCAAGUAGCGCUCCGCGCGGUAGGGCAUAAUAAUAGGGUAAACCAGGUAUUUAUAGACUGAAUACAUAGGUUUAUAAAAGCAAACCCGGGGAACUGAAACAUCUAAGUACCCGGAGGAAAGGAAAUCAAUUGAUACUCCCCUAGUAGCGGCGAGCGAACGGGGACCAGCCGAGCCAUGAGUGUGGUUAGAAUGCGUUGGAAUGCGCAACCAAAGUGGGUGACAGUCCCGUAUAAGAAGCAUGAUUGGACGUAUUAAGUAGGGCGGAACACGUGAAAUUCUGUCUGAAGAUCGGAGGACCACCUUCGAAGGCUAAGUACUCCUUACUGACCGAUAGUGAACCAGUACCGUGAGGGAAAGGUGAAAAGCACCCCGACGAGGGGAGUGAAACAGUACCUGAAACCGAACGCCUACAAUCAGUUGGAGGAUCUUUACGAUCUGACAGCGUACCUUUUGUAUAAUGGGUCAUCGACUUGGUCUCACAAGCAAGCUUAAGCCGUUAGGUGUAGGCGUAGCGAAAGCGAGUCUUAAUAGGGCGUUGAGUUUGUGGGAUCAGACCCGAAACCGAGUGAUCUAGGCAUGGCCAGGUUGAAGAUAAGGUAACACUUAUUGGAGGACCGAACCCACAUCCGUUGAAAAGGAUCGGGAUGAGCUGUGCCUAGGGGUGAAAGGCCAAUCAAACUCGGAGAUAGCUGGUUCUCUGCGAAAUCUAUUUAGGUAGAGCGUCAUCCGAAUACCCUCGGGGGUAGAGCACUGGAUGGGUAAUGGGGCCCCACAGGCUUACUGAUCCUAACCAAACUCCGAAUACCGAGGAGUACUAGAUGGCAGACACACGGCGAAUGCUAACGUCCGUCGUGAAGAGGGAAACAACCCUGACCUCCAGCUAAGGCCCCUAAUUCAUGGCUAAGUGGGAAAGCAGGUGAGACGACCAAAACAACCAGGAGGUUGGCUUAGAAGCAGCCAUCCUUUAAAGAUAGCGUAACAGCUCACUGGUCUAAAUAAGUUGUCUUGCGGCGAAGAUGUAACGGGGCUCAAGCCAUGAGCCGAAGCUGAGGAUGCAUUUAUUGCAUGGUAGCAGAGCGUAGUGUGACAUAAGACUUAGUCUCUUCUAUUUAAGCGGACCAUCCGGUUCUGUUUGAGUGCUAACGCGCUCAAGUAGCCCUCCGGGCGGUAGCGCAAAAUAAUGGAGACAAAGUCUUUUCUGUGAAGCUGGCGCGUGAGCGAUCCGGUGGAGAGAUCACUAGUGAGAAUGAUGACAUGAGUAGCGACAAAGAGUGUGAGAAACACUCUCGCCGAAAGUCCAAGGGUUCCUGCUUAAAGCUAAUCUGAGCAGGGUAAGCCGACCCCUAAGGCGAGGCCGAAAGGCGUAGUCGAUGGGAACCAGGUUAAUAUUCCUGGGCCAGAUGGAAGUGACGGAUCUCGAGGGUAGUUCAUCCUUAUCGGAUUGAAUGGGCUGCUUAGAGGUCCCUGGAAAUAGCUCCAUCGCUAGAUCGUACCCUAAACCGACACAGGUGGACUGGUAGAGAAUACCAAGGCGCUUGAGAGAACUAUGUUGAAGGAACUCGGCAAAAUACCUCCGUAAGUUCGCGAGAAGGAGGCCCGGUUUCUAGGCAACUAGAGGCUGGGGGCACAAACCAGGGGGUGGCGACUGUUUAUUAAAAACACAGGGCUCUGCGAAGUCGCAAGACGACGUAUAGGGUCUGACGCCUGCCCGGUGCCUGAAGGUUAAAAGGAGGGGUGAGAGCUCUGAAUUGAAGCCCAGGUAAACGGCGGCCGUAACUAUAACGGUCCUAAGGUAGCGAAAUUCCUUGUCGGG
RNAcentral lists this ribosomal RNA (1998 nucleotides) under seawater metagenome. RNAcentral's name for it is "bacterial LSU rRNA". It matches the Rfam family "Bacterial large subunit ribosomal RNA", at positions 1 to 1976 of the family's 2925-position model. The record is from RNAcentral.